RNAcentral lists this long non-coding RNA (8821 nucleotides) under Jatropha curcas. RNAcentral's name for it is "long non-coding RNA (JCUR_LNC001385)". The record is from RNAcentral. Lineage: Eukaryota; Viridiplantae; Streptophyta; Magnoliopsida; Malpighiales; Euphorbiaceae.
AGUCAAGCUAAUGCAAUGUUGUGCCCGGUUUACAUUAAACUGCUGUAUGCUUUACAGCUGAAUCCCCCAAAUUCUUCAUCAAACGCAAACCAAGUUCAACAAUAUCAAUUGUCCCCAGGAGAACAUCCGAGAAUUCAGGUACUUGUUCUGGAUACUUGAUCACAAACAUGUCCAAGAAUUUUUCUUCAGAAUAUCCAAGAAUAGAAGCUAAACUGAUUUCUGCUCUGAUCAAACCCUUUAGAAUCAAAACUCUUAAAACUGAACACCUUGGAACAACCCUCUUCUCGAAACUAUAACAUAAAACAACUGGAUAUUUUGCAAUAAUUGCAGGCUGCCAACCCAUUUUGUUCACAAGAAAAUCUAUCUUCUUUAUAAUUGUCUUCUCUGAGUAACCCAUACACAGUGGACGCUUUUUGAUGACAGACCAUAUUUCUUCUUCCGAAAAACCCAACCUACUGAAAGCAUCAAUUUUUUGUUUCCAUGUUUUGGAUUUCAUUUGCAUUAUCAUUCGAAGAGCAUUGGCAAAUGAAAUAUUCCGAGGAUCAAAUCCCAUACCUACAACAUUUUUAAUAGCUUCACUAAACCUUUCAGAAUUUGCGCAUACAGCGUUGGGGCAAUUGGUAAUCAAAAUAGAGAUGGUAGAUUGACGCAUUCCGAGCUCUCUUAAGACUGAUAAAUUAACAGGCAAGUGUUCCUUGACAUAGCACAUGUUGAAUGCUGAUAUGCGUUUCAAUAUAAUAAGGCCUCACUCAUCAGAAAAUAACAAACUUUUAAUAACAGCAUAAACUGGGAUCAAAAGAUUGUUCAAGCUGCCAGACAAGAAAACGGGGUUCUUAGAUAUCAUCACCGGAAGGUCAGAAACCCCAAUAGAACGUAAAAAUUGAAUCUUUGGUAAUAUUGUCUUCACGGGAUCGAAUAAAAUCAACUUGGGCUGUCCCCUAAUAACUUGAGAUAUCUGGUAUUUGGUGAGUCCAUAGUCUUUGAGAAGAUUAAUGACAGCAUCUGGUCUUUCGGAGUUUUCAAAAUUUACGUACUUUGAAACACGUUUAGCAGAUUGUGAGGAUAAGCCACAUGAGUUGAUGAGGUAUGACACUGUAAAAGAGUGUGUAUUAGAUUUAGAUGAAAAAUACCUGAUUGUAACCAGUGCUUUAAAAUGAAUAAUACCCAAUUGGGCACUGUUCGAGUCUAACAGCGCACGACUCCAAUCAUUUAACGCCAAUCUUCUAUUGGAGAAACGGAACAUCAUAUGAAAGGCCAACUCACCGAGUUUAGGAGGGGAAACAGCUGGAAUUGGACGUUUUGCUUUAUCUGCCUUGUAAAUCAGUGAGCUAUAAAAUCGAAAAUACGAUUUUUACCCAGAAAACCAUUCAGCAAUACGAAACUUUCUGAGAAUUUAACAUCAAAAGAGCCAUAAUAUUGCCUGCUCUGCCUCCAUUCCGGCAGUUCAAGAUAGGUCACGGUACUUAAGCGUUUUAGGGUUUUGCAGUUGCAAGAGCGAAGAGGAGAAAUCAAUUAUAUUUACUCAAACACGCUGCCGUUUUCAGUUAGCUGGUGCUUUUAGAGGCUGAGUCCAGCAUGGGUCAGCAUAAUACCAGGCCCAACUCGAACCGAAACUGCAUUUCUUUCCCUGAACUGAUUUCACCGUUGUUGUUGCUUUUCAUUUGUAAUAAAAUUAUUUGUAAUGGAAAACAGUUACAAAAUGAUAUAUAGGGAUAUGCAGUUGCAAAAGAGAGCGAGAGUGAAGAGGAGAAAUCAAUUUUCAAUGUAAUUUUACAUUUUUUAUCAUUUCGCAGUUGAUUGCCGUUGUCAUUGCAUUUGUCAUUACAUCUACAACUACUAAGGACGAAUUCCAAACCAUCACAUAUCAGCAAUAAUUCUAAAAACUGAAAAAAGAAAAGAAAAGAUAAGUUCAAAAUGAUUCUGUACAAAUUACAAUAAUCAUCUUUUCUUUUGUUUUGUUUUACUUUCUCCUUCAUCUGCAGCUAUUGCUCCCACUCGAGUCUGUCUUCACCUUGAUUGUUAGUAUACGUGAAUAGUAUCCGUGAAUAGUAUCAGUAUACAUAAAUAGUAUCAGUAUACGUAAAUAGUACUAAUAUAUUUGAAUAGUAUCAGUAUACGCCGACGCCAAUAGUACUGUUUACAACCAACUUUGAGUUACUGUUUUACUAUUCACUACUAAGCGAUUGUUUUACUAUUCACCACUAAGUCGAUUGUUUUACUAUUCACCACUAAGUCGAUCUACAACUUCUUUCCGAGCGUAUAGCACCGAUGAACUCAUCGUAAUUUUCUUAUCGUCGUGGUAUAUUUGUUUUCAAAAUAUAUCCACGGAUCUGGUCCCGCUAUCUGACCAGCUGGACCUGCCGAAACCUUCGGCUCUGAUACCAGUUGUUGAAAAAAAUUACGCAAAAUCCCCAAUAACUUAGAUUUAUGAGGGAGCAAAAGAAAAUAAUAACACACAAUUUGAUAAUGGAGUUCGGCCAAUCUUGCCUACUUCUCCGGACUGCCACAUAUCUUUUAUAGAGAAAAAUAAAUAAAGUAUUUACAUACACUCACAACCCGCUAUCCAAGAAUACCCGAAAAAUUAAACUUAAUUUUUCUUCUUGCAUAAUCUCUCUAUUUUUCUCUCUUACAGUUGCUCUCUCUCUCAAUUGCUAUCACUCUCUAUUUGUCUUGUGUAUUUAAAUGAACUUCGUCUGCCUCUUUUUAUAGGCAGUUGUAUACUUUGUCAAAAGAAAAUUGACAACUUUUCUUCUUUUCCAAAUAACACGUUUUCCUUUUUUUUUUUUUUUCUUUUUUUCUUUUGCACAUGUGGGUCCCAUUUAAGUGGGACCACCAAAACCAACUUUGACAAGGUCCACCUAGAAGGAAGCAAUAAUACAAGGCAAAAGAUUAUUGACAUAUGAUUUGUAUCCAGUUUCUACGAGUUAGGUUCUCCAUUCUCACCGCAACUUGCUGUUAAAUUUUUUGUCAAAAUCUUCACCUUGUGGCAGUUCUUUUUCAUGAAAUUUCAAUGUAACUUUACAUUUUUUAUCAUUUCGUAGUUGUUUGCAUUUGUCAUUACAUAUCUUCAACUACUAAUGACGAAUACCAACCAUCACAUAUCAGCAAUAAUUCCAUAAAUUGGAAAAAGAAAAGAAAAGUUUAAAAUAAUUCUAUACAAAUUGCAAUAAUCAUCUUUUCUUAUCAGCUCCAAAAUCUUUUCUUUUCUUUUGUUUCACUUUCUCCGACUUCAUGUUGAUAUUGAUUUCACUCUUCUUCAGUAAUUCCCUCAGGAUAAAUCUGCAGAAAGAUUGGAACAUGUAAAAAUGAAAUUGUCAGUAAAGAAUUAUAUAUAUAUAUAUAUAUAUAUAUAUAUAAAGGGAGAGCGAAAAAAGAAAAAUUAUCUUACCUGACUGCGAUUUUCUUCAUGGAAACUUACGGUUCUAACUUUGAACUCCCCUCUGCUAGUAGUUAGCUCAUCUAACAUUUCUGCGUAACACACUUGGACUUUCCCUUCCUAAUUUCCUAAACCAGUUGCUUCAUUUUCCUGAUAAUUAAAAAGAAAAUGCACAAAAUUAGUACUAAUCCAAAAAAAUGUAUGUAUAGACUAAAGAUUGAAUAAACAGAUGGACAUACUGUCAAAGAAAGGCUGAAAGAUAGUCGUGGAGCUCUGGUAAUUUCCUCAUAUUCAGCUACAUCUAGUUCUCUUAAAUGAUGAGGACUAAACAGUUUGUAGAGGCUGAGUGCAUGGGUAUACACCGGGCCCAACUCGAACCGACAAUGCUUCCCUCCUAACUUGUGAUUUUCCUCUCAAAAAUUAUGAGAUUAUUGCGAGUUCAAUAUUCCAACCUAAUUAAUUGGAAAAAGUUCCCAAAGAAAAGCAGUGGUUCUGUACAAAAUCCUCCCUUUGAUUAAGAAAAGCAACGCAAAACUAAUUACCAUACAUGUCUAUGGAUUGACAAUGUUUAAUUUCAAAUUACAUGGUCUUUGCUGUUCAUUUUUAGAUAAAAAUUUUUGGUGAACAAAAAGCAUUUACAGAAUACUACUAGUACAAGACACACGAAUCUUCUUAUUAACAAAUAAAUUGAUAGACUCACCUAUUACAAGUUAAUUAGAAAAAGUAACCUCAUUUCAGUCAAGCUAAUGCAAUGUUGUGUCCGGUUUACAUUAAACUGCUGUAUGCUUUACAGCUGAAUCCCCAAAAUUCUUCAUCAAACUCAAACCCAGUUCAACAAUAUCAAUUUUCCCCAGGAGAACAUCCGAGAAUUCAGGUACCUGUUCUCGAUGCUUGAUCACAAACAUGUCCAAGAAUUUUUCUUCAGAAUAUCCAAGAAUAGAAGUUAAACUGAUUUCUGCUCUGAUCAAACCCUUUAGAAUCAAAACUCUUAUAACUGAACACCUUGGAACAACCCUCUUCUCGAAACUAUAACUUAAAACAAUUGGAUGUUUUGCAACAAUUGCAGGCUGCCAACCCAUUUUGUUCACAAGAAAAUCUAUCUUCUUUAUAAUUGUCUUCUCUGAUAAACUCAUACACAGUGGACGCUUUUUGAUAACAGACCAUAUUUCUUCUUCCGAAAACCCCGACCUACUGUAAGCAUCAAUUUUUUGUUUCCAUGUUUUGGAAUUCAUUUGAAUUAUCAUUCGAAGAGCAUCGGCAAAUGAAAUAUUCAGAGGAUCAAAUCCCAUACCUACAACAUUUUUAAUAGCUUCACUAAACCUUUCAGAAUUUGUGCAUACAGCGUUGGGGGAAGUGGUAAUCAAAAUAGAGAUGGUAGAUUGGCGCAUUCCGAGCUCUCUUAAGACUGAUAAAUUAACAGGCAAGUGUUCCUUGACAUAGCACAUGUUGAAUGCUGAUAUGCGUUUCAAUAUAAUAAGCACUUUCUCAUCAGAAAAUACCAAACUUUUAAUAAAAUCAUAAAAUGGGAUCAAAAGAUUGUUCAAGCUGCCAGACAAGAAAACUGGGUUCUUAGAUAUCAUCACCGGAAGGUCUGAGCCAGAAACCCCAAUCGAACGUAAAAAUUGAAUCUUUGGUAAUAUUGUCUUCACGGGAUCGAAUAAAAUCAACUUGGGCUGUCCCCUAAUAACUUGAGAUAUCUGGUAUUUGGUGAGUCCAUAGUCUUUGAGAAGACUAAUGACAGAAUCUGGUCUUUCAGUGUUUUCAAAAUUUACGUACUUUGAAACAAGUUUAGCAGAUUGUGAGGAUAAGCCACAUGAGUUGAUGAGAUAGGACACUGUAAAAGAGUGUUGAUUAGAUUUAGAUGAGAAAUACCUGACCGUAAGCAGCUCUUUAAAAUGAAUAAUACCCAAUUGGGUACUGUUUGAGUCUAACAGAACAUGACUCCAAUCAUUUAACGCCAAUCUUCCACUGAAGAAACGGAACAUCGUAUGAAAGGCCAACUCACCGAGUUUAGGAGGGGAAACAGCUGGAAUUGGACGUUUUGCUUUAUCUGCCUUGUAAAUCAGUGAGCUAUAAAAUCGAAAAUACGAUUUUUACCCAGAAAACCAUUCAGCAAUACGAAACUUUCUGAGAAUUUAACAUCAAAAGAGCCAUAAUAUUGCCUGCUCUGCCUCCAUUCCGGCAGUUCAAGAUAGGUCACGGUACUUAAGCGUUUUAGGGUUUUGUGUUUUAGGGUUUUGCAGUUUCAAGAGGGAAGAGGAGAAAUCAAUUUUAUUUACUCAAACACGCUGCCGUUUUUACUUAGCUGGUGCUUUUAGAGGCUGAGUCCAGCAUGGGUCGGCAUAAUACCAGGCCCAACUCGAACCGAAACCGCGUUUCUUUCUCUGAACUGAUUUCACUGUUGUUAUUGCUGUUCAUUUUUAAUAAAAUUAUUGGCAAUGGAAAACAGUUACAAAAUGAUUUAUAGGGAUAUGCAGUUGCAAAAGAGAGCGAGAGGAAAGAGGAGAAAUCAAUUUUCAAUGUAAUUUUACAUUUUUUAUCAUUUCGUAGUUGCUUGCCUUUGUCAUUACAUCUACAACUACUAAUGAGGAAUACCAAACCGUCACAUAUCAGCAAUAAUUCUAAAAAUUGGAAAAGAAAAGAAAAGUUCAAAAUGGUUCUGUACAAAUUACAAUAUCAUCUUUUCUUAGCAGCUACAAAAUCUUUUCUGUUUUGUUUUACUCUUCUUCAGUAAUUCCCUCAGGAUAAAUCUGCAGUAAAGAAAUGAACAUGUAAAAAUGAAAAUAUCAGUAAAGAAUUAUAUAUACAUAUACAUAUAUAUACGAAGAAAGAGCGAAAAAAGAAAAAUUGUCUCACCUGACUGCGAUUUUCUUCAUGGAAGCUUACAGUUCUAACUUUGAACUCCCCUCUGCUAGUAGUUAGCUCAUCUAACAUUUCCGCAUCAAACACUUGGAUUUUCCCUUCCUCAUUUCCUAAACCAGUUGCUUCAUUUUCCUGAUAAUUAAAAGGAAAAUGCACAAAUUAGUACUAAUCCAAAAAAAUGUAUAUAUAGACUAAAGAUUGAAUAAACAAAGAUUGAAUAAACAGAUGGACAUACUCUCAAAGAAAGGCUGAAAGAUAAUCGUGGAGCUCUGGUAAUUUCCUCAUAUUCAGCUGCACCUAGUUCUCGUAAAUGAUGACUAAAUAGUUUAGGAAAUAUGUGCUGCUUAUCCAAAUCAGAAUAAAGAAGCGCAAUGGAAACAGAACUCCAGCUAUUGGAACCCAUGUAACACCAAAACAGACCAGGAAAUACACCAACUGUAUGAGUGUAAAAAUAGCAGUGUACUUGAAUGGAACUGAUUCAAGAAAUGAAGCAUGAACUCUUUCCAACACCCUGUCAAAAGAAAAUUAUCAGCAAACAUAUAUACUAACUUCAAGAAACCAUAUGCAAUAAAAUAUUUAACUAAAAAAACUUUACUUGUAGCGCCUUCCAGGCAUGACGAAAAGAAGUAGUAUUCUUUCCCAGAACUGAUUUCCAGGUAAACUGUCAAUAGCCAUGUACGCAAAGUAUCCCCAGAGAACUGAUGUAGGUAUUAGCUUUAUUGCAGGCAUAGCGCAUACUGAUCCUGCUACUAGAAGCGACUGCAAAAGAUUGCUCACUCUUUGUUCAUUAACUCUAACAGGCAAGUAAGCAUCAAUAUGCUUCUCAGGAUCAAUUGCAUAUUUGGGAUUUUCUUCCUUGUCUUCCCCUUUCCUCACUGCCUCCUUCAAGUCUUCCAGCUCUUUAGCUACUGCAAUCUGCAGUUAAACGCAGACUUUGAGUAUUAGCAAUUGUUUGAUACAUUGGGGACAUACUUGUGCAAUUCUACAUUUGGACUUACAGCUGGACUACUGUCCAUUUCUAUGAAUAAAGCUUGCAUCUUGCCAUAUAUUUCCGAGUUGCUAGCUUUCUGUUUGAUGCUUUCUUUAGCACUUUCAACCAUUUUCCUCCGAAUCAACUGCACAUUAUUAGACCGAUUAAAGAAGUACAGUUUAUGGACCUUACACUAUAAGAAAGUACUCCUUUGAGUAGUUAAAAGAAAAAAACUGGAUACUAAUAAGCAUUAGAAAAAACACACCAUAACCAAAAACCUUUCACUAACAUUUCAUAUGUUAUUAAUUAUUACUUCUAACAUGCAUCAAACUAUGUUAAAUCUUUUAUUUGUUGUGGUGUUACCUGUCUCUUUAGGACAGCAAGGCUCUUUGUGUGCAUCGGCGACUGGGGUAGAACUCCAUUUGUAGGAGGUAGUCCAAGCAAUCCACAAAGCAAAGUCUGGAAAACCAUUUAGAUAAUAAUUGAAUAUAGGGUUUUGGAAGAAAGCAUAGGAAAAUAGACGGUUUAAGGUAUUAUAUAGGCACGUACCAGAAAUCCUAGCAAUAAAAUGUCAUAAUGGUAUGCAGAAGGAUUUUUAAGAUUGAACUCCUUUUGUUGUGCAAGCUGCGAAGCUACACUGUGGUCGAAAAAGUAAAGUCCUGCUAUCAUCAGAGCAGGAAUAAAGGCUGCAAAGAUGUAUGCUGGAGGAACAUUUCCCAUAUCCUGAAGAUUGAAUAAACAGAUGGACAUACUCUCAAAGAAAGGCUGAAAGAUAGUCGUGGAGCUCUGGUAAUUUCCUCAUAUUCAGCUGCAUCUAGUUCUCGUAAAUGAUGAGGACUAAACAGUUUUUAGAGGCUGAGUCCAGCAUGGGUAUACCAGGCCCAACUCGAAGAACCAAAACUAAUGAUCAUAACAUGUCUGUGGAUUGACAAUGUUUAAUUUCAAAUAACAUGGCCUUUGCUGUUCAUUUUUAGAUAAAAAUUUUUGGUGACUAAAAAGCAUUUACAGAACGAGAAACUUAAGACAUAAAUAACAGCAAAAGCUUAGGGAGAACUUGAACAAGGAGAGGAUACUACUAGUACAAGACACACGAAUCUUCUUAUUAACAAAUAAAUUGAUAGACUCGCCUAUUACAAGUUAAUUAGAAAAAGUAACCUCAUUUCAGUCAAGCUAAUGCAAUAUUGUGUCCGGUUUACAUUAAACUUCUGUAUGCUUUACAGCUGAAUCCCCCAAAUUCUUCAUCAAACUCAAACCAAGUUCGACAAUAUCAAUUUUCCCCAGAAGAACAUCCGAGAAUUCAGGUACUUGUUCUUGAUACUUGAUCACAAACAUGUCCAAGAAUUUUUCUUCAGAAUAUCCAAGAAUAGAAGCUAAACUGAUUUCUGCUCUGAUCAAACCCUUCAGAAUCAAAACUCUUAAAACUGAACACCUUGGAACAACCCUCUUAUCGAAACUAUAACAUAAAACAACUGGAUAUUUUGCAACAAUUGCAGGCUGCCAACCCAUUUUGUUCACAAGAAAAUCUAUCUUCUUUAUAAUUGUCUUCUCUGAGUAACCCAUACACAGUGGACGCUUUUUGAUAACAGACCAUAUUUCUUCUUCCGAAAAACCCG